UGAGGAAUAUUGGACAAUGGGUGCAAGCCUGAUCCAGCCAUCCCGCGUGUAGGAAGACGGCCCUAUGGGUUGUAAACUACUUUUAUCUGGGGAUAAACCUACUUACGUGUAAGUAGCUGAAGGUACCAGAUGAAUAAGCACCGGCUAACUCCGUGCCAGCAGCCGCGGUAAUACGGAGGGUGCAAGCGUUAUCCGGAUUUAUUGGGUUUAAAGGGUCCGUAGGCGGACUGAUAAGUCAGUGGUGAAAUCCGACAGCUUAACUGUCGAACUGCCAUUGAUACUGUUAGUCUUGAGUAAGGUUGAAGUGGCUGGAAUAAGUAGUGUAGCGGUGAAAUGCAUAGAUAUUACUUAGAACACCAAUUGCGAAGGCAGGUCACUAAGUCUUAACUGACGCUGAUGGACGAAAGCGUGGGGAGCGAACAGG
Molecule: ribosomal RNA, 424 nt
Filed under: uncultured bacterium
Lineage: Bacteria
Also listed under: 1 other name
Description: bacterial SSU rRNA
Rfam family: Bacterial small subunit ribosomal RNA
Source: RNAcentral